RNAcentral lists this transfer RNA (88 nucleotides) under Lactococcus sp. RNAcentral's name for it is "tRNA-Ser". It matches the Rfam family "tRNA". From Rfam's summary of the family: Transfer RNA (tRNA) molecules are approximately 80 nucleotides in length. Their secondary structure includes four short double-helical elements and three loops (D, anti-codon, and T loops). Further hydrogen bonds mediate the characteristic L-shaped molecular structure. tRNAs have two regions of fundamental functional importance: the anti-codon, which is responsible for specific mRNA codon recognition, and the 3' end, to which the tRNAs corresponding amino acid is attached (by aminoacyl-tRNA synthetases). tRNAs cope with the degeneracy of the genetic code in two manners: having more than one tRNA (with a specific anti-codon) for a particular amino acid; and 'wobble' base-pairing, i.e. permitting non-standard base-pairing at the 3rd anti-codon position. Lineage: Bacteria; Bacillati; Bacillota; Bacilli; Lactobacillales; Streptococcaceae. RNAcentral also lists the same sequence under 4 other names. The record is from RNAcentral.
GGAGAGAUGUCCGAGUGGUCGAAGGAGCACGCCUGGAAAGUGUGUAAACGUCACAAGCGUUUCGGGGGUUCGAAUCCCCUUCUCUCCU